AUUGAACGCUGGCGGCAGGCCUAACACAUGCAAGUCGAACGGUAACAGGAAGUAGCUUGCUACUUUGCUGACGAGUGGCGGACGGGUGAGUAAUGUCUGGGGAUCUGCCUGAUGGAGGGGGAUAACUACUGGAAACGGUAGCUAAUACCGCAUAAUGUCGCAAGACCAAAGCGGGGGACUUUCGGGCCUCGCACCAUCAGAUGAACCCAGAUGGGAUUAGCUAGUAGGUAGGGUAAUGGCUUACCUAGGCGACGAUCCCUAGCUGGUCUGAGAGGAUGACCAGCCACACUGGAACUGAGACACGGUCCAGACUCCUACGGGAGGCAGCAGUGGGGAAUAUUGCACAAUGGGCGCAAGCCUGAUGCAGCCAUGCCGCGUGUAUGAAGAAGGCCUUCGGGUUGUAAAGUACUUUCAGUCAGGAGGAAGGGUGUGAGAUUAAUACUUUCAUGCAUUGACGUUACUGACAGAAGAAGCACCGGCUAACUCCGUGCCAGCCGCCGCGGUAA
Molecule: ribosomal RNA, 506 nt
Filed under: uncultured bacterium
Lineage: Bacteria
Description: partial 16S ribosomal RNA
Rfam family: Bacterial small subunit ribosomal RNA
Source: RNAcentral